Molecule: ribosomal RNA, 761 nt
Filed under: uncultured Prevotella sp.
Lineage: Bacteria; Pseudomonadati; Bacteroidota; Bacteroidia; Bacteroidales; Prevotellaceae
Description: bacterial SSU rRNA
Rfam family: Bacterial small subunit ribosomal RNA
Source: RNAcentral
GAUGAACGCUAGCUAUAGGCUUAACACAUGCAAGUCGAGGGGAAACGGCAUUAUGUGCUUGCACAUUUUGGACGUCGACCGGCGCACGGGUGAGUAUCGCGUAUCCAACCUGCCCUUUACUUGGGGAUACCCCGUUGAAAGACGGCCUAAUACCCGAUGUAAUUCAUUGAUGGCAUCAGAUAUGAAUAAAAGAUUUAUCGGUAAAGGAUGGGGAUGCGUCUGAUUAGCUUGUUGGUGAGGUAAAGGCUCACCAAGGCAACGAUCAGUAGGGGUUCUGAGAGGAAGGUCCCCCACAUUGGAACUGAGACACGGUCCAAACUCCUACGGGAGGCAGCAGUGAGGAAUAUUGGUCAAUGGGCGGAAGCCUGAACCAGCCAAGUAGCGUGCAGGAAGACGGCCCUAUGGGUUGUAAACUGCUUUUAUACGAGAAUAAUUUGAUGCACGUGUGCGUUAUUGCAUGUAUCGUAUGAAUAAGGACCGGCUAAUUCCGUGCCAGCAGCCGCGGUAAUACGGAAGGUUCGGGCGUUAUCCGGAUUUAUUGGGUUUAAAGGGAGCGUAGGCCGGAGAUUAAGUGUGUUGUGAAAUGUAGACGCUCAACGUCUGACUUGCAGCGCAUACUGGUUUCCUUGAGUACGCACAACGUUGGCGGAAUUCGUCGUGUAGCGGUGAAAUGCUUAGAUAUGACGAAGAACUCCGAUUGCGAAGGCAGCUGACGGGAGCGCAACUGACGCUGAAGCUCGAAGGUGCGGGUAUCGAACAGG